CGUUAUGGGGCGUGCCGUGCAGGGCAUCUUCGGAUGCACCGUUCGUUCUCGACGGUUACGCCAACCUGCAUGGCCCGCUCCACCCUG
Molecule: non-coding RNA, 87 nt
Filed under: Metapseudomonas otitidis
Lineage: Bacteria; Pseudomonadati; Pseudomonadota; Gammaproteobacteria; Pseudomonadales; Pseudomonadaceae
Also listed under: 2 other names
Source: RNAcentral